RNAcentral lists this long non-coding RNA (1014 nucleotides) under Strongylocentrotus purpuratus (purple sea urchin). Its description in RNAcentral is "uncharacterized LOC115928066, transcript variant X2". Lineage: Eukaryota; Metazoa; Echinodermata; Echinoidea; Camarodonta; Strongylocentrotidae. The record is from RNAcentral.
CAAUAAUUAUUGUUUUUCAGAUCUCCGAGGGCAAAAUGUAAACGACAUUAACGCCUCGACGUGGAUUCAAACCCUACAUCGACAUCUGCAUGCUAUUAAAUAUGAAAAUGUUUACAUGUUCAUAAAUGGGUAAGUAUCAACAGAUUACUGGAAGGGAAAGAGAACGACUGCCAGGGAUACAACUUGUAUAUAGGCUCAUACUAUGUGACAAACAUGGCCACCAGGCGACGAGCUGACGAACCGAGGCGAUGGGAUACGACAACGAUGUAGCGAAGAAGGUGACCUACAGAGCGACCACGACGGCUACCAGGUUACGACUAUGGUGAUGGUGAGCAAGCGAUUACGAGACUGAUGGCGACCACGGUAGUAACCAGCGAGGGAAGAAGGGCGGGGGCCAGGGUGACUACCAGGGUGAUGGCAACCAGAGCAACGAACAAGAUGACGGCAACGAUGAUCAUCAGGAUGGAGCCUACCAGGGCGACGGCAUGGACGGCAACCGGAUCUUUACCACGGUAAAGACGACCGAGCCGGGGCGACUACCAAGUGAUAGCUCCGGAGAUAUACAAGAUGAUACACCCUUUGUCUCUUCGCUGCUAAGAAGACGACGAGUGAACUGUAAUCUUAGAUGCUUCCCAGAGAUCACAAUUUAAGUCUGCAGAUGCAAACAUGAGCUACAAGCUAGAUGACAUCCAUGUCAAUGACAACUGCUCUUCACACAAAAAAUAUCAGGACUUCGACGCCCACGCACGAACAAGGGAGAAGCCAAAAAUGAAAUAAAUUUGAAAGAAAGCUUUGAAUCUUGCACAACCAAAAUAAUGUCAUAAACUGUUGCUUGAAAGAGGAUUCUGCAUUAGUUAUUUUCAAUGAUGUACAUCUACAAACAUUCGAGACAUUGGAGGCAGUUUUAAGUGAGAGAGAAUAACACUGUAUUAGGUGCUUUUAUAUAGCACUCUGCAUGGAUGCAUUAUUUGAAUAUUUUGUUAACAUAAUCAAAUUAAUGUACGUCAAGCAAAA